GGAGACCUACGGGGGGCAGCAGUGAGGAAUAUUGGUCAAUGGUCGGGAGACUGAACCAGCCAAGCCGCGUGAGGGAGGAAGGUACAGAGUAUCGUAAACCUCUUUUGUCAGGGAACAAAGGCGGGGACGUGUCCCCGGAUGAGUGUACCUGAAGAAAAAGCAUCGGCUAACUCCGUGCCAGCAGCCGCGGUAAUACGGAGGAUGCGAGCGUUAUCCGGAUUUAUUGGGUUUAAAGGGUGCGCAGGCGGUCUGUUAAGUCAGCGGUUAAAACCCGGGGCGCAACCCCGGC
RNAcentral lists this ribosomal RNA (289 nucleotides) under uncultured bacterium. Its description in RNAcentral is "partial 16S ribosomal RNA". It matches the Rfam family "Bacterial small subunit ribosomal RNA", at positions 333 to 619 of the family's 1533-position model. The record is from RNAcentral.